UACGGAGGGUCCAAGCGUUAUCCGGAAUCAUUGGGUUUAAAGGGUCCGUAGGCGGUUUUGUAAGUCAGUGGUGAAAGCCCAUCGCUCAACGGUGGAACGGCCAUUGAUACUGCAAGGCUUGAAUUAUUGGGAAGUAACUAGAAUAUGUAGUGUGGCGGUGAAAUGCUUAGAGAUUACAUGGAAUACCAAUUGCGAAGGCAGGUUACUACCAAUAUAUUGACGCUGAUGGACGAAAGCGUGGGGAGCGAACAGG
RNAcentral lists this ribosomal RNA (253 nucleotides) under uncultured bacterium. Its description in RNAcentral is "partial 16S ribosomal RNA". It matches the Rfam family "Bacterial small subunit ribosomal RNA", at positions 524 to 776 of the family's 1533-position model. The record is from RNAcentral.